Molecule: ribosomal RNA, 879 nt
Filed under: uncultured bacterium
Lineage: Bacteria
Description: bacterial SSU rRNA
Rfam family: Bacterial small subunit ribosomal RNA
Source: RNAcentral
UGAACGCUAGCUACAGGCUUAACACAUGCAAGUCGAGGGGAAACGACAUCGAAAGCUUGCUUUUGAUGGGCGUCGACCGGCGCACGGGUGAGUAACGCGUAUCCAACCUGCCCACCACUUGGGGAUAACCUUGCGAAAGUAAGACUAAUACCCAAUGAUAUCUCUAGAAGAUAUCUGAAAGAGAUUAAAGAUUUAUCGGUGAUGGAUGGGGAUGCGUCUGAUUAGCUUGUUGGCGGGGUAACGGCCCACCAAGGCAACGAUCAGUAGGGGUUCUGAGAGGAAGGUCCCCCACAUUGGAACUGAGACACGGUCCAAACUCCUACGGGAGGCAGCAGUGAGGAAUAUUGGUCAAUGGACGAGAGUCUGAACCAGCCAAGUAGCGUGCAGGAUGACGGCCCUAUGGGUUGUAAACUGCUUUUAUAAGGGAAUAAAGUGAGUCUCGUGAGACUUUUUGCAUGUACCUUAUGAAUAAGGACCGGCUAAUUCCGUGCCAGCAGCCGCGGUAAUACGGAAGGUCCGGGCGUUAUCCGGAUUUAUUGGGUUUAAAGGGAGCGUAGGCCGGAGAUUAAGCGUGUUGUGAAAUGUAGACGCUCAACGUCUACACUGCAGCGCGAACUGGUUUCCUUGAGUACGCACAAAGUGGGCGGAAUUCGUGGUGUAGCGGUGAAAUGCUUAGAUAUCACGAAGAACUCCGAUUGCGAAGGCAGCUCACUGGAGCGCAACUGACGCUGAAGCUCGAAAGUGCGGGUAUCGAACAGGAUUAGAUACCCUGGUAGUCCGCACGGUAAACGAUGGAUGCCCGCUGUUGGUCUGAAUAGGUCAGCGGCCAAGCGAAAGCAUUAAGCAUCCCACCUGGGGAGUACGCCGGCAACGGUGAAA